CUAUACUACUGUCAGUCAAUCUAUAGAUAUUUGCCAAUGAUGCCAGGAGACACAUUGAACAGUUGUUUGCCACAUCAAGGAAAUCUCUUGACUCUCCCCUCAGAAGACUUGUCCGAUGGAACAGUCCAUGGUAAUUGACCUAAAUAGCCCACAAAACUAGAACACUUUCCAUACCAAGUUCCCAGUUACAACAUAUUUCACAGUCCUACUGCCACCACACUUUCAGGACAUGGAGCCAAGAAUUCUGCCUCGUUAGCAAACUUCAUCCUCCUCACUGUCAGUUCUAAAGCUCUAAGGACUAUCAUCUUGCUAUCUCCCAAACACAACAUUCUUUCCUUGUCUUCCUUCUCUGCCCAGUGAACUGUCCACAUAGCAAUGGCCCAACCCUACACCCCUGGUAUGUGGCCCAUACUUUGCUUACCUUCUCCAGCUGAGAAGCCAUGGCCUGGACAACAGGAGUUGGGAGGACUGCAAAGUGACUCCAGGUGCAAGGCACCUUGGUUACAGUAAAAGGGCGUGGGAGGGCUUAGCAACAGAUGUCAGGUGCCAGACAUGUCUCAGAACUGGUGGUAGCUAGCAAUCUCUGAACAGGCACUGGGACUGGGAGGACUUGUAGGUGUCAUCUGGGUAUUAGAUACCAGUGGGAUGCUUUCAAAACAGCCUCUCUAGAUGUCAGAAGGUCUGUAGACAAGACAUACAGUCUCUAAUAAGACUUCUUAGGACCCUUCGACCCAACUACUAGGGGAAAGCCAGAUUCUCUGCUCUGUUGCUUAGAAGCUUCUAAUUUGGCUUGCUAGAAAUGCUUUCAAAUGACAUGUCCAAAUCGACAUUACAUCACAAUAAUUUCUUUUCUCUCUUAGUGCAAGUUUCCUAAACAAUGCACACCUUGGUUUGGGUACAUGAAAACCGUUAUAUGUACAUGUAUGGAACUGCUAUGAAUGACAAGAGUCCGAAGUUCUCAAACAAACACUGACAGAAACACUUAUCAUUAGGUCCCAAAUAUCAACAGAGAACAGGGCUCAGUUGCCACAAUGGUUAUUUUUCUUUCAACCUUCCACACCUCACCUUUCAUUUCAUGUUUAGUCUUUUUGACUUGAAGGUCACCAGUUCAAGGAUGUCUGGUGUGCUGACUUCAACAUUUUCUACAGGAAGAUUCUGUUACAUUCUCAAUUUACUCUUAAUCUGCCAACUUAAAAGGUCAUCUACUUUAUAAAACUCAUUACCACUUACACGCCCCCUUCAUAUACUAGAGAGCCCGCAAAGAGAUAAGGCCAAAACAUAAUACACAGAAAGCUUUAGCUAACACUCAAAGGUGUUGACCGGCUCUUAGUGUAUCAGACUUGGGUCUUGAACCUCUAAAGUGCUGGGCUUUGAUAUUGCCGACAUGCCACAUGGCAAAGGCUGUUGGGGCUCUCCACCUCCUCUUGCUGAAGUCUGUGUACAGAAAAGGAGCAGACUUAAAAUACACAAAAUGUCACCGGUUAGCCGGUCUGAUACAGAAGUCGCCACGGGAGACAGUUCCGGGCACCCGGUACCCUUGCUGUAUUUGGAAGAGGCGACACUUCCCACUGGACUGCACAUUGCCAUUCAGGAAUUUUCGUUUCUUUGCAUUUGCCUUUCCAUGGUCCCGUAGAAUUUUCUUAUGAUAUAUAUGUGUACAACCUUAAUCAAAUAAUUAUAACUUUUCUGUUUAAAGGAUUUGAAAUUUGUUACAAAAGGUCAUAUUUCACAAUUUUGGACUUGUGAUGAAAUGAUAUGACCUGUUAGCUCAAGUGACAUUCCCCAGGUAUACCCAAGUUAAGCCAAGUUCAAAUCCUAGAUUAGCAAAAGAGCAAGUCCAAAUGCUUUGCAGGGUUACUGUGGACUUCAUAAAGUAACCCAACACCUCAGCAAAAAAUUCCCUUGGUGUUGAACGAUUUAUGAGCCAAAAAACACCAGCAGUACACUGCAACUUUAUCGCAUUUUCCACCACUUCAAAGGACUUGAGGGUUUCAAGGGCACUGUUGAAAUCACACGAGGCAGGCUCCUUGCCUGCCCUUAUGUCUACCUCCCUAUCUUCGAUAUGCCGAAGGCUCAUUAUAGCCAGACCAGAUAGGCUCCAAUCGGAAAACAACUGGCCCCUAUUGGCCCGAUAAGGGUCCGCUCUAGGUAAACACACUAAAAUAAUGACUUCUCUGUCCUCAUCAGGGCUGCUUGAUAAUGCAUAUCCAGUCAAGUUCAAAAGUCAAACUUGUUGAAGUUCAAAGAGACUUCGGGAGGCAGGCUAUUCUUUCAGCAAACAAGGAAAAUGUCAACAGUGGAGUCUGAACACUGCUGGCCAGAAGACCCCAGGGAUAACUGUGGAACUGCCCCUGGGUCAGGAGCGCAUGAUGAAAGGCUAGUGACAACAGGUGAAGAUAUUCAUAUUACUCUCAUAGGCACUCACUAUGAUAUGUGAUAUGUUCAAUCAUUUUAAACCUAAUUAAUAGGGCAAGGGGAAAUGUUGAUUCUAAAGUUACCUUCCUGGGCAAUCUACUUUUCUAAAGCUGCUCUUAUGAAAUUGAAGCCAACUUCAAAGGCAUUGAAAAUAUGCAUAGAGAACUAGCUUAAUGUGAUACAUUGAGAUUACAUAGAGAUUAGGUUAUGAUACAGUCCUUUUUGUUACGCUCCACAAAAUGUUCUCAUUUACCAUACUGUAUUAUCAACAUCAUUUUAAGGAUAGUUCCUCAGUACAAAACCAAACCAACACUCCAUAAAUGUCUCGCUGCCAUUCUUAACACCUUUCCUGCAUGGAUAGGCCCAGAAAUACCAGCUGACUGAAAAGGUUGUGCAGCAGCUAAUGGAGCACCUGGGAGACCCACCUGCCCACAAAACAUCCCAUUGCCAGGUGUCGCCACCUUACUUUCAGCAGCCAACAGGAAUGAUGAAGGGGCUCCAACAGUAAAGUCUUUUUGUCUCUGCCCUUUUCAACAGUUAUCUUUCCAUACUGGUUUAUGACACUGGCACAUAUUAAGGCCAGUCUGGUGCCUGACUGUCUGGAGUUGGGGGUUGAGUUGUCUCCUCUUGAGUCAAGUAAGCUGAGAGUCCAAUACUUCAAGUCGGCACAUCAAAGGUUACCCAGCUCACCCCUACAACAGCCAACAGCCAAAGGUCCCCAAAGAUCAUCAUGAUUUUGCAAUAAUGACUCCUAUGACUAACAAGGCACCUGUUCUUAUAGAGAAUGACCUGAUACACUUUUUUGUUUUCUUUCAACUUUCUGUUUCAGACCAAAUUUAGCAUGAAAAUGGUUCAAAACAAUCUUCUUUGAAUUAUUGACCAUUGCCAUCCAGACCAUAACUAAAUCAUCAAUGGUCUAUCCUACCAUUAACUGAAGGCCAUCUCUGCAGUUGACAAGUCAAAAAGGUUUGUAAAUACCAUUGUUCAGAAAAGCAAUGUCUAUGGCUCUUUUUUUUGUAGCAGACUUCAAGGAGAUCCAUGAAAUGUUUUUCCUGAUUGCAGACACAUCAAAUCUGGACAUCAAAGGGACUGGGGAAAAACCUCACAACAUAUUACCAAAGCAUAUUCACUCAGGUCUUAAAUGGAACAAAGGUGUUUUCUUAGCAGAGAUAUGAAAUGAAAGAUAAACAGUUCAGGUAUGGGGAUGUUUUACCUACAAUUGAACCCUGCUUUUGGUCUUAUCACUGGGUAAUAUCUUCCAGAUGAUUCUAUGGUUACAAGAUUCUGGCAUUCAAUGGACUCAUUGAGCGCAUGUAACCUAGAUCUUGUCAGCUUGUAACAAUGGUACAAUUACAACCAAAUCUUCAGACAAUCUGUAAUGUCUUUUGAAUGUGUUAUCCAAAAUGUGUGCUUUAGUGUAAAGAUAAGGAGUAUUUUGUUUUCCCCUUGGAUUGAGAAAAACACUGCAUUUACAUUGUGCAUACUUAGGCAUUAUUGGGACAUAUGCAUGCAUAGGUUAACAGUGGUCACUUCUCACAGGCCCAUUCCAUAUUGCAAUUUCGAUAAACCAAAAGCAAUACCAAAAGAAUACCUAAAUGAAACUUUUAGUAUUUUCCUACAUUUAUCGGUUCUGUUUUCCAUAAUGACUGCCAAAUUACAUACAGGACCUGCUGUCCUCGUAAGGGUGGGAGUUGUUACAAUUCCAAACAGGAAAAUGCUAAUUGAAAUCCCAAAGGGCCUCUCCUGCCUUUAGUAAUUAGAUGGAGCAACAAAAUUAUCUGUUCCUUGUCUGUCUCCACCCAUGUCUACAAGUCCUAAUUGCCAAAAAUCACCUCAAACGCCAGUGAUGAAAGGAACCGACAGGUGACAGGGAAUCUGGGGAUCAAAGGUGUCAGUCUCGGGAAGUACACUACCAACAGACCAUACAGGAUUACAGGGAUUACACCAGAGAGGAGAGACAACAGCAGUAUGGAACAUAAAAAGUCAGUGAGAUGGGAAAAGAAGAACUGAGAAAUUCUACAAUGAGAAAUCAAGGGAACAUAGGAUGGAGAAAUGGAUAGGAUUGAGUGAGGAAAAGAAGAGGCAAAAGCAAAAGCUGCAAAGAGAAGGAGGAAGGAAAUGUGAGGGGGAGGAAGGAAGAAUGGAAGGUCGGGAAGGAUUAGAUAUGGUUUCACAACCUUGGUGUACAGAAUUGUUUCUUUGUACCACAGGAUUAUGUCAUCCCCCUUACAAUUCCCAUCCAUAGGUCACCAGUUGCAAAUGAAGUCCCAGCCCAGAUCAGGUGCCAGGCCAUCUCAUAUGGUCCCUUCAGCCUUGAUGCAGCCUAAAUGGGACCCAGCGUAACCUGGUACUCAUUCCAUAGGUCACCAGCAGACAAGCUAUGCACUGUCUAUCCUUACUCACAUGUCACGCUACCUGCAACCUGGUAAACAGCUGUAAUGUAAACCAACCUGGCGCUAUUUGGGGUCAAUGUCCUCUAGUGGACAAUACCAGGCUGAACUGCUUUACGACACGAUUUACCAACAAGUACGACAAUGUAAUGAAAAGGUGUCAAGCAUUAUAUCAGUCUAUCAAAUCUUUAUACACUGGAGAAAUUUCAAUACAAUAAAUCAACAACCACCUUUG
Branchiostoma floridae (Florida lancelet) is the source of this 5040-nucleotide long non-coding RNA. RefSeq lists it as uncharacterized. The transcript has 3 exons. Lineage: Eukaryota; Metazoa; Chordata; Leptocardii; Amphioxiformes; Branchiostomatidae. The record is from RefSeq and is a predicted model, not a curated record.